GACGAACGCUGGCGGCGUGCCUAACACAUGCAAGUCGAACGGAGAUACGAUUUCGGUUGUAUCUUAGUGGCGAACGGGUGAGUAACGUGUGAGCAACCUGACUUUUAGAGGGGGAUAACACCUGGAAACAAGUGCUAAUACCGCAUAAGACCACGACCCGACAUCGGGAUGAGGUCAAAGGAGCAAUCCGCUAAGAGAGGGGCUCGCGUCCCAUUAGAUAGAUGGCGGGGUAACGGCCCACCAUGUCAGCGAUGGGUAGCCGAGCUGAGAGGCUGAUCGGCCACACUGGAACUGAGACACGGUCCAGACUCCUACGGGAGGCAGCAGUGGGGAAUAUUGGGCAAUGGGCGCAAGCCUGACCCAGCAACGCCGCGUGAGGGAAGAAGGCUUUCGGGUUGUAAACCUCUGUCCUUGGUGACGAAAAAAUGACGGUAGCCAAGGAGGAAGCCCCGGCUAACUACGUGCCAGCAGCCGCGGUAAAGUACAGUGU
This 490-nucleotide ribosomal RNA is filed under the name uncultured bacterium. RNAcentral describes it as "bacterial SSU rRNA". It matches the Rfam family "Bacterial small subunit ribosomal RNA", at positions 28 to 533 of the family's 1533-position model. The record is from RNAcentral.